Molecule: transfer RNA, 83 nt
Filed under: Ignavibacteriales bacterium CG_4_9_14_3_um_filter_34_10
Lineage: Bacteria; Pseudomonadati; Ignavibacteriota; Ignavibacteria; Ignavibacteriales
Description: tRNA-Leu
Rfam family: tRNA
About the family: Transfer RNA (tRNA) molecules are approximately 80 nucleotides in length.
Source: RNAcentral
GCGAGAGUGGCGAAAUUGGCAGACGCGCUAGACUUAGGAUCUAGUGUCCAAAAAACGUGGGGGUUCGAGUCCCCCCUUUCGCA